RNAcentral lists this ribosomal RNA (301 nucleotides) under uncultured bacterium. RNAcentral's name for it is "partial 16S ribosomal RNA". It matches the Rfam family "Bacterial small subunit ribosomal RNA", at positions 509 to 809 of the family's 1533-position model. The record is from RNAcentral.
CAGUCGCCACGGGAAUACGUAGGUGGCAAGCGUUGUCCGGAAUUAUUGGGCGUAAAGGGCUCGCAGGCGGUUUCUUAAGUCUGAUGUGAAAGCCCCCGGCUCAACCGGGGAGGGUCAUUGGAAACUGGGAAACUUGAGUGCAGAAGAGGAGAGUGGAAUUCCACGUGUAGCGGUGAAAUGCGUAGAGAUGUGGAGGAACACCAGUGGCGAAGGCGACCCUCUGAUCUGUAACUGACGCUGAGGAGCGAAAGCGUGGGGAGCGAACAGGAUUAGAUACCCGUGUAGUCCCUGUCUCUUAUAA